Molecule: non-coding RNA, 174 nt
Filed under: Pyrenophora teres f. teres 0-1
Lineage: Eukaryota; Fungi; Ascomycota; Dothideomycetes; Pleosporales; Pleosporaceae
Description: Eukaryotic small subunit ribosomal RNA
Rfam family: Eukaryotic small subunit ribosomal RNA
Source: Rfam by way of RNAcentral
UACCUGGUUGAUUCUGCCAGUAGUCAUAUGCUUGUCUCAAAGAUUAAGCCAUGCAUGUCUAAGUAUAAGCAAUUAUACCGUGAAACUGCGAAUGGCUCAUUAAAUCAGUUAUCGUUUAUUUGAUAAUACCUUACUACUUGGAUAACCGUGGUAAUUCUAGAGCUAAUACAUGCU